AGACGACUUCCUAGACGACUUACAUUUCAGUCGUAUGUUGAAGAAAUUAAAACAGACGACUUACAUGUAAGUCGUCCAGAAGAGUUUAAUAUUUUUAGUGGGAAAUUAAAUAUUUUUAGCGGAAAACUAAAAUAGAAGACUUUCCAAACGACUUACAAGUAAAAUUAAAUAUUUUAGUACGUCAAUGGUUUAAAUUAUUUAAGCGGGAAAAUAAUUUUUUAAAAAAAAAUUAGCGGGAAUAUUUGGACGACUUACAUGUAAGUCGUCUGUUUUAAAUUCUUCACCAGACGACUGAAAUGUAAGUCGUCCGAG
Molecule: long non-coding RNA, 312 nt
Filed under: Brassica napus (rape)
Lineage: Eukaryota; Viridiplantae; Streptophyta; Magnoliopsida; Brassicales; Brassicaceae
Description: long non-coding RNA (BNAP_LNC024901)
Source: RNAcentral